UACGGGGGGGGCAAGCGUUGUUCGGAAUUACUGGGCGUAAAGAGUGCGUAGGCGGUUUUCUAAGUUUGGUGUGAAAUCUCCCGGCUCAACUGGGAGGGUGCGCCGAAGACUGGAAGACUAGAGUGUGGGAGAGGUAAGCGGAAUUCCUGGUGUAGCGGUGAAAUGCGUAGAUAUCAGGAGGAACACCUGCGGUGUAGACGGCUUACUGGACCACCACUGACGCUGAGGCACGAAAGCGUGGGUAGCAAACAGG
RNAcentral lists this ribosomal RNA (253 nucleotides) under uncultured bacterium. Its description in RNAcentral is "partial 16S ribosomal RNA". It matches the Rfam family "Bacterial small subunit ribosomal RNA", at positions 524 to 776 of the family's 1533-position model. The record is from RNAcentral.